Molecule: long non-coding RNA, 287 nt
Organism: Populus euphratica (Euphrates poplar)
Lineage: Eukaryota; Viridiplantae; Streptophyta; Magnoliopsida; Malpighiales; Salicaceae
Exons: 3
Source: RefSeq, a predicted model, not a curated record
UCCAGAACCUUAAGAGAAAGCAAAGGAAAGCAGAAGAAGGAGCAGAGGAGAGGAAGUGGUGUCGGCCAGCCAGAGCUUCGUCACCGUCUCCGUCGCCUCCGGCGGAACAGGUAAGCGACCUCUUCUCCUUGCAUUGUCUUUGUUAAUUAGCAUUUACACUGUGCAAGUGAAUUUUAAUUCACUUGCACAGUGUAGCGACAAGCGUGCGGUAGCGCACGCGUGUUGCUUAGCCCAGCCAGGUCACUGGUUUGGGCCAGUGACCGGGCCGGGCUGGCUGUGUCCAGCCC